Canis lupus familiaris (dog) is the source of this 140-nucleotide small nuclear RNA. RefSeq annotates it as U4 spliceosomal RNA. Lineage: Eukaryota; Metazoa; Chordata; Mammalia; Carnivora; Canidae. The record is from RefSeq and is a predicted model, not a curated record. The transcript has a single exon.
AAUUUUGUACAGUGGCAGUGUCGUAGCCAAUGAGAUUUAUCUGAGGCGUGAUUAUUGCUAAUUGAAACAGUUCAGUGACAUGAAAGGCAAUUAAAGCUAGACUAGAAAUCACAAAAGAAAUAUGAAAUAUUCCACAGAUU